UACGGAGGGGGCGAGCGUUAUUCGGAAUUAUUGGGCGUAAAGGGCGCGUAGGCGGCUGAACAAGUCAAAGGUGAAAUCCCUCGGCUCAACUGAGGAACUGCCUUUGAAACUGUUCGGCUUGAGGCCGGGAGGGGGUAGCGGAAUUCCCAGCGUAGCGGUGAAAUGCGUAGAUAUUGGGAGGAACACCAGUGGCGAAGGCGGCUCACUGGACCGGAACUGACGCUGAGGCGCGAAAGCGUGGGGAGCAAACGGG
Molecule: ribosomal RNA, 253 nt
Filed under: uncultured bacterium
Lineage: Bacteria
Description: partial 16S ribosomal RNA
Rfam family: Bacterial small subunit ribosomal RNA
Source: RNAcentral